Mustela erminea (ermine) is the source of this 89-nucleotide long non-coding RNA. RefSeq lists it as uncharacterized. The transcript is spliced from 3 exons. NCBI's taxonomy places the organism in Eukaryota, Metazoa, Chordata, Mammalia, Carnivora, Mustelidae. The record is from RefSeq and is a predicted model, not a curated record.
CUCCAACAUGCAUGAACCUUGAGGACAGGAUGCGGAGUGAAAUCAGCCCGUCACAAAGAGACAAAUACUGUUAUGUUAUGCAGAGUUCC